RNAcentral lists this ribosomal RNA (460 nucleotides) under uncultured bacterium. RNAcentral's name for it is "partial 16S ribosomal RNA". It matches the Rfam family "Bacterial small subunit ribosomal RNA", at positions 338 to 795 of the family's 1533-position model. The record is from RNAcentral.
CCUACGGGAGGCAGCAGUGAGGAAUAUUGGUCAAUGGCCGGAAGGCUGAACCAGCCAUGCCGCGUGAAGGUCAGUGCCCUAUGGGCGUUAAACUUCUUUUGUGCGGGAGCAAUAAUGGUCACGUGUGGCCAGACGAGAGUACCGUACGAAUAAGCAUCGGCUAACUCCGUGCCAGCAGCCGCGGUAAUACGGGGGAUGCAAGCGUUAUCCGGAUUUAUUGGGUUUAAAGGGUGGGUAGGCUGUGAGGUAAGUCAGCGGUGAAAUGCCCCCGCUCAACGGGGUGAAGUGCCAUUGAUACUGCCUGGCUGGAAUGCGGAUGCCGUGGGAGGAAUGUGUGGUGUAGCGGUGAAAUGCAUAGAUAUCACACAGAACACCGAUUGCGAAGGCAUCUCACGAAGCCGCGAUUGACGCUGAUGCACGAAAGCGUGGGUAUCAAACAGGAUUAGAUACCCGGGUAGUC